Aquila chrysaetos chrysaetos is the source of this 8041-nucleotide RNA transcript. It is a transcript of the gene named secondary ossification center associated regulator of chondrocyte maturation, with no coding region annotated. The transcript is spliced from 2 exons. Lineage: Eukaryota; Metazoa; Chordata; Aves; Accipitriformes; Accipitridae. The record is from RefSeq and is a predicted model, not a curated record.
CUUUGUUUGCAUUUAAAGCCCAAAAGUGUGGGAGAUCUUCUACUAACUGGCCUCUCUCUCCUUUCCCUCCCCUAAAAAAGGUCUGUAAGUAUUCAAUUAUAAUUGAUUAAUGGAAACUAGCUUUGGCAUCAGUGGCUGGUGGUGAGUAAGAAUAUAUUCUCCAUAGUUUUUCCUAAGCAGAACAGCAGUAGCACCUGCGUGACCAUUAGUGGCAGUAGAUCAGUAAACAGAUGGGUCAACACUAGAUGGAGCGGUCUCAGCAGCUGAUGGGACAGGCUGUCUGUCAGCUUGUAAUGGUAGGAAGAGGUUACAAUUGUGAAAAGAAACAUUUUUCUCUGGCUAAAGCCUGCAUGCCAAUUUCUGGUUCCUUCUACGCAUUCUGCUACAGCAGAGCACUUUACAACAGCUGCUCUAAGUAGAUAUAUGAAAGUGUCUAUGGAAACAUUUAGCUCUGUCAAAAGCAGAGGUGUGCAUCUAAGCUGAGUUUGCCCAGAGCUGGGUGUGCUGAGGCAGACGGCAGUGCUGGGAAGGUACGUGGCUCUGACUUGAGUUCAGUGAGGUGAUGGGAGUAGGAAUAGGUGAGACACCUGUUCUGAGAGGUGCUGGUUUUUAAGGAGAUGGCUAGUAAUUGCAGCCUUACCUGCUCCUGCCUUUAGUAUGGCUGUGCUUGCUGAGGGGAGCAAAGGGCAGAGCCAGCUUCAAGGGCUGGCUGGUCUGAGGGGGGUUUUUACAAAUGAGGAAUAACUGGCUUCCAAACCGACUCCAUAGAUGGGCUCUGAGUGUACGUACGGGUGGGAACUCCUAUGGGGAGCUGCUUCCCUCAAAGCCUCUUCCUUUAAGCAGAGGCGAGGCUGAAGGGAUGGCUCAGGCCCAAGAUAACGGGCAUAAGCACAGCGCUUGUUUUCCUGAAUUCCUGUCCUGCCUUCCAAGACCUGGUGCAAGGCUGGAUUGCAGUUCCCUCCCAGUUUGUUCUGAGCAUCUUGCCGAGCAGGGGGAUCGUGGCCAGCCAUCUAGCCGAUGAAAUUAUUUCUUUGAAAAGGAGCUUUCACGUGGGUAGGGGAAUUUAUCACAGCGCCUAGCUGGAACAUCUGUGGGUGCAAGAACAGGAUUACUGUAGCUGGCAUUUCCCCCACAGAUCCUCCCCUUGUAGGACACCACCUUGCUGGGAAACCUUUAGAGUAGCUAAGAAACAAGCACUAAAAAGUAGACGUUUUCCUUCUCAAACCCUGAGCUUUGGUUUUUGUGUAGUGGAACAUUAAUUGCUUGAGCAUAGUUUCAGUUUGUAGCUUGCUCAUGCUCCCAGAAGCAGCGGCAGUGCUCUUCCCCUAAACCAGGUAAGGUCUUUUCUUAACUGCUAACAGUAUUUCACUCUUCUGCAGCAAGUGAUUAAUUUCCAGUGAAAAUUUAAUCUGCUUCCUCUCUGAGCUAGGAUUUCCUUUACGCUAUUUUAAGUUUCCACUAUUUGGUGCACAUUUGCUCUGCCCCCUGCCUUGCCAGCUUUCCUGUGUACUUGCUCUUGGCUCAGCAUUGCAGCUAUCGUUUGUACCUGUUGCUGUCUCCCUGUGUCACUUCGCUCCUGUGACAUACUCCAAGUUCACUUGAUUCCUGUACUGUGUGAGUCGCACUCAUGCAGCGAGGCCAGUAGCUCUUGACGAGCUUUGUACUGAUGAAUGCAACGUUUGGGUCCGGGGGCGUAGGAGAGGCUCUGUGCUUCCUCUGUGGCAUUUUAGAGGCUUGAGGUCUCUAAGAAGUUUGUUCUUCUCUGCUGCCCCAAAGCAGGACAUGAGGGGACCAGCCUGUAUGGUAAGCCAUCCCUGGAGCAGAAUGGUUUUCUGCUGCAUUUGGAGUGGAGAGUUACCUACCCGCAAUACAGGGCCUUUCAGUGCAUAGUGGAAUUUUUUCUGCUUUUCACCCCAUUAGAAAAGGAAAUUUCCUGCCUUGUGCAGACAAAGAAGGGAAGGGCAGACAGACAGCCCUCUGCUCUCUGUGCAUACACAUGCAGCCCUGCCUUUCUGUAAACAAGUUUGUUUAACAUUCAUCAGAACCGCAGCGCUCUGUGCUGCUCCACACUCGAGCUCCUGGCGCUUGCACAUCACAGGCUGCCCUUUGUGCUCCCUAUGAAGGCCUCUUUUCAUCCCUGCCCUGGCCCUGUGCCCACUCUGGCUACCUGGGGCUGGACAGCCCGUUGCUGGCCUCAAGAGUUCACCCAGCCCCUGCCCUGCCAUCUCAGCACCUUGUACUUUGUGUAGCAAAGCCCUUCACGGUGGGCAGAAGCAGAGUCUGCCUUGGAGAGGGCUGCAGCUGAUGCCAGCCACGCAGACCCAAGGUCCAGAAUGAGUCUUCCCGUCCUCGUUGGAUUUAAUUUUAUCACAGUGGGGACUCAGCUACCUAGUGCCAAAAGACUCUAAGCGCUCAGGAGUUCAGCGAGACAUGAAGGACCUUGCUGGCAGCUGAGGUUCCUAUCUGGGUGUAGCAGUCAGAGCACUUUUGGGGUGCUGGUGGGUUGUGUACCUUGAUCUGGCUUCUUGCCCAGCCAGUCUGCUUUCCUGGAUGGCGUGGUCAGAGCUCUGCGACUGGAGACAGCGUGAAUUUCUCCUCCGAGUUACUGAGCUUUUUCCAAUAUCCCAUUUGUCAGAUGGGCAAACAACCGACCAAGUCUUUAACCCUCUUUGUCCACGUCAUCUUGGUGCAACAGGAGACAGAGCUGCUUCAAGGACUUUCUGCACACCGAAAUCUUCUCCACUGUUGCUUUCUCCAAACCCAACUGGCACAUAGGCCUAGAGCACAGGAGGCUUGUGAAUUGUUGAUUUUUAUUUUUUUCUAUCAGCAAAACCAGUUUCAAUUCAUAGAAUGGAUUCAGAGCUCCAAGUGAAAUGGAAGUUAGUAAAAAGCCUUUGCAAGGCCUUGGCUUCUGAAUCAUGUAUAUAUUUGGUAUCUAAACUCUUAAUGUGAGCUCAUGAAUUUCCUUGUUUUCAGCUAAUGUGGAAAUAUGUUAUACUGCAGUAGUACAUCAGAAUGCGUACAGGAGAAAAAAGCAGCAGAGCAGGAGGUGGUGUGCAGAAGGAAAAUGUACAGGAGAAGACCUUGUCCUUGGACAUCUUUCUGUAGUGUCUUCACUCUCAACAGUAGGAGAACAAAAGAUUAUUAGGAAGUUUUUAAAGUUAAGUACUAGAAUGCGAGAAGUAGUAAAUAGUUUUUUUCAGGCACGUUUCUUAAAAAAAGAUGCGGUUGUUCCAACAGGUCUGUCCAGACUUAGAGCAGCUCUUUGUAGUCCAUUACUCAGCCUUGCUCUGCACCAACACUCCUUAUAAAUUACUGACACUAGUAUCUGCUCCUGACUAAGGUUACUGGGUUGGAGGUGGAGAGUGAGGAUGAUGAGGUGCUGAAACCAGCUUGUACAAGGAGGAGUAUUGGUCAUGGGUGAGUAGUCUCCAGGGAUGAACGUGUUAGGCGGCCACAGCUGCCUGCCUUGAGGUCUUGCAGUCUGCUGCGGGGAGGUUCUGGUUGUUUGGGGCUAUCUUGAAGGAUCCGUCAGAUUUGAUCGGUUUCCUCAAGAGCUAUCGCUUGUGGAGACUCUUCCAGUCUUAUUUUUCAGCCACCGAGUAUCUGGGGCACUGGCUACCAUGUCACUGUGCUUGGCAGGUCACCCCACUUUCUUCUUGCUGAGCACGGAAAUAGCAGUUUCGUCAAGUUUCCUUUGGUGUCAUCCCUUCUAGAUCUCGCUGCAGCCCAUGUAGCUCAAGUCCUGCUGGAUCCCUGCAUCAUUCAGAAAACUCAUGGUGUAUUUCUUUAUGGCGUAGUAACUGGAUAAUUUCUUACCUUUUCUUGCCCUCAGUUGUAACUAACCUGUGCUGGAGAGAGGGAGAAGACACAGUGCAGUAUAGAUAUUUCCCUAAAAUAAGGCAAUCUGUAGCGUCAACAUAUGGGAAGGAAGAGGAGCUAUCUUCCACCUGGCCUGUUGCAAAACACUGGAAUACUUCUAGUUCCUUUUUCCCAGGCUCCAUCUCUGCCCAGUAAACCCCUGAUAACUAAGAUUAUUCCAAGUCUUUCUCUUAAGUGCUCCCAAGUUCUGGUUUUACCAAGUGGAUUUCACUGGUAGCCUGUGAAGCAACAGUUGCCCUGGGUCUGUGCUCUAGUGCUGAGACAGGGUUAAUGCUGGGGGAGAGCUUGUUUGUGCCAUGGGGUCAAGGUUUCUCUCCCUUCAGAGCACCCGGUGCCGAGGCACAAAGCCUCAGCAGUGCUGGGGUUACCCAUGUGUGUCAGCAGCCUGGUAGCUCCUCCAUGUGCCUGCCUGCUGCCCCUGCCGAGUUGCUCCAGGGCAAACAAACCAUGUGAGUGCACCAGGUGGGUUUUCCUAGAGAUAGGACUGGUCCAAAGGCUGAUGCCAGCACAGCUAAUGCGUCGCUCUCACCCAUAUGUUAAACAUCUGGUCUUGUGAUGGACAAUGUGUUUUGAACAUGUUUCUCGGUAGUUCUUUAUUUCUACAAAGUUCUUGGGUGAACAGGAAAACCAUGUGCUACCUUGCCUUUGAUAUUUGGUUUCCAACCCUUGACUGUACCCCCUCACUUGAGAUUGCAAUGCGUUUGGGGUUUUUGCGCAAGUAAAAAAUGCUGUGCCCUGCCCCAAGGCCACAGAGGUCCUGUGAGACCUGCCCUUUCCCUGUGAAAGGCUGCCACCGGAUCUGGAGCUGUCACUUGGGCAUUUGUUCAGGCACAUAGACUGCAUCCUCCUUGUCGCAGUCAGGGUGACAGUAACUGUGCAGGUGGGCAGGCCUGGCUGCUCUGGUGCUGCUUUUCUUGUAGAUUGUAUUUUGAGCCCCAGCCUCCUGUUUGUGCACAGAGAAACUGAACCCAGGAGGGAGAGGGACUUGCGGUGGCCACACAAAACGUUGGCAGCAGAGCAGAGAACUGAAUCUCCUGAAUCGAGUCCCAUGCCUGUACCUUAGAGCCUGUCUGGUCAUAUUCCAGUCACCCUCAUGUCCCACUUAGACACGUGAAACCUUAUUGAUUGUGUGUGUUGGGCUUUGGCGCCUAACCCACGCUCUGUCCUUCCCCCUCGCCUUUCUUGCUUUUACCAGAGGACUGAAAUGGGAGUGUGGCAUUUAAUGCUUCUAUGGUAGAGAUCUGCUGCUCUCAGCCAGCGGCAGCCCUGUGGAAGGGAGCAGGCGUGACUUCCCCAUUGUUAAAGAAACCCGCUGGAUGGGGAGGGGAUGGUUGGAUGGGUGGUUGGGCUUCUCAAACAGGCAGGAAUGGAGGCAUGUGAGGACACAAGCUGUUAGUUUAGGAGGGAAAAUCAAAGGCGAGUCUUGGAAAGAAAAGUGCUGGUUAAAAACAAGCUCUCUCCAAGGCUGCAGCAGUUUGCUCUGGAGAGACCUGCCUGCUGGCAGCUUUCUCUGGGGCUGGUGCUUGCAUUUGGUGUUGUGGUCCCCCACCCUGUGGGCCUGCUGCAGGGCUCUCAGCAUCUGCUCUAGCAGCAUUGAGGUGCAAGAACCGAAAAGGAGACCCAGCAGUAAGCCCUGGCUCUUGGUGAUGUUCAGAUGCAGGUAUUUCACUUCAUGCGUGUGCACGACUGCUGCUGCUUCUGAGCUGAUAACUCCUGUUAGUGAGGCACUAGACCUGACUGAAAGGAGUUGUGUUUCCCUUGGUUGAAGCGCCGUUAAGAUCAUCUGAGCUAAUGCCUUUCCCCUGGUCAGAUGUGAGGGGUACACCCAGCUCUUUUGGCUUUGGAGAGAAAAACAUUCCUGGGAAAUGCAACAGUGGCGUCCUCCCAGCGUGGUGUUCUCUUGCCAGAUGGGAAUGGCUGCAGUGUUGGUGCUGGCCCCGGUGGUGUUGACACAGUCAGGAAGGUUGUAGCUGGAGUGUAGCUCUUCUGUGCAGAGUUUCUCCACUUGAGAAAGCAGCCUGGAACCGGGGCUUCAAAAGCAUUACGUACGUUUGGUCUGUGCCUAACCCAACAGCUACCUAAUGCCACCAUUGCUAACUAAAUGGCUCUGGCUCUGCUCAGUUCCUUUCCCUGUUGUUCUAACUACAUUUACCCACUAAAUUCUGUAUUUCCUCCUGAUCUGUCCUCUGGUAGCUAAACCACAGUAUUUAUAGAAGAGAGGUCCACUGGAAAUGGCACUUUCUGGAAGAGCCUCCGGAUGGGAUGUGAGUCUCCAGCUCUGCUGGUUGGUUUUGCAGGACAGGUUGGGAAGGGCCCUGCAAAGGGCUCAGGUGUUUCUGGGGAGCCCUCGUGGAGCACAAACCUCUUGUGUGCUCAUACCGGGGAUGCGAGAUGCUGCCUCUGAUGCAGUGACCACAGAUGUACCAAGCGGGCAAGGAUGUGGUAUUCACGGCGACUCCCAGCUUCUCCCCAGGGUGGGUCAGCCAGCCAGAGCGGGCUGGUGUCGCUGCCUGGCUUAACUGGCACAGGCCUCAAAAUGGGGGCUAAUUUGUCUCUCUCAUUGCUCAUUGGGCCAGACCCAAUGGGUUUAAACCUGGCAGCUGUCUCGCUGAAAAUCCUCUAGCUUUUGUGGCUGUAGAAAGGACUUUCAAAACUAGUCUAGAACCCUGGUGUGUUCCUGCAUCUGCAGGCAGCCUCAAAUAGCUCCAGGGAUGGUGGGAGCUACUCUUUGAUGUGAGCCCUGUGGUAAGUCCUAUCAGUGGGUUUGUACAGGCAGCAGAGGUGAGCGUUUUGGUGUUGGUCCUCCUGUUCUUUUUGAUGCAGGGCUCCUACAGGAGAACAAAGUGUGGUAGAGCCCAUUAGCGUCGAUUCCUCAGCUCACUCUCCCCCCACGAAGUGCUGGCUGCCUGUGGGAGGUAAGGAGGGCUCUGGGUACUUAAAGCUGGGGCUGAUGCUGCCAAGAUAGGCUGCUGCCACCUCUCUUGCUGGGUCAGGGAGAGUCUGGGACAAGUCUUCGAGUGCCCCUGGUACACCGAGAGACACUGUGCGAGAGCCGGGGUGCCUGGGGAUGCCUCUGUGCCUUGCCCCAGGGAGCCCAGGCUGCUUGCUCCGGUUCCUGUGAUGCCCUCUUCCCGGCCUUGAUAACCACUGUGUCAGUUCAGGUGGGCCUUGGUGCUGGAUGCUGUUCGUUUUCCUCCCCCUCCUUUUUUUCCCCAUCCCAGCGCAACAUUCCCAGCGGUUUCGGCAGGGAGCUGUGGAAUGUCUCCUGCUCCCAUGGGGCUCACCUGAACAAGCAGGGCAUUGACAGUGCUCAGCUGAGCCACACACAGACAGGCAGGGCUUUCUGGUUUGGUCCCUGACCCCACAGGGGGAAGAAAUAACAGGAGGUGAAUGGUAACAUCAAACAGAGCCCGGCCCAGCUUUCAUCUCCCCGGCAUGGCGUGGAGCUGGGGCAGAGGUAAGUUGAUACUCUGGGGCUCCUGUCUGGGGGAGCGGUGUCCUGCGCAGUGGCAGCGCCUCUGGCAUCCUCUGCUGCAUAGGUUGGUGGUGCAGGACAGAAAGGCCCCGAGAUGCUGUGAAUUUGGCCAGCACAGGUGGCUGGGUGGUCUCUGCCUGUUUCAGGAAUGUGACAGCCCCUCCCAGGCCAGUCCCAUGGGCAUCCAUGAGCACACUGGCUGUGGAUGUUCAUGUGGGGCCUGUUUUUGCACAAGCAGAGGUGGCACGGUUGUGGGGAGCUCCCUGUCAUCCCCUGGGUGCUGUAUGUACACCAGGUUGCCACAAAAGCCUAUGGCAGUGUGGUUUCACCCCGGGGCACGGGCAUUGCCUUCAGCUGCUCUGGGUGUUGGUGUUCUGCGGAGGUGGUGCCCUCCCAGAGGUGGGCUCUGCCCCACUGGGUUUCUCAGCCCUCGGGUCACCCUCCAUCCAUCCCGGCACACUCGGUAGGCGGCUGGAGCCCAGGGACCUGCUGAGCUGCUGCUGUCACCAGCAGCCUGGCCGGGGCCACCCAUGCCCCUGAGUGACCGUGGGUGCUUGUCUCCCAGCAGAGUACCCGCAGGGCCCGGUCCCCACCCUCUGGAACGAGCCACCCGAGCUGCCCUCUGGAGCUGGCCCCUUCGAUGCCGCCACCACCACACCCCAGCUCUCAGACGCCACCGCCUUC